Molecule: ribosomal RNA, 489 nt
Filed under: uncultured bacterium
Lineage: Bacteria
Description: partial 16S ribosomal RNA
Rfam family: Bacterial small subunit ribosomal RNA
Source: RNAcentral
AUUGAACGCUGGCGGCAUGCUUUACACAUGCAAGUCGGACGGCAGCGGGGUAGUGCUUGCACUACUGCCGGCGAGUGGCGAACGGGUGAGUAAUAUAUUGGAACGUACCGAGUAAUGGGGGAUAACCAAUCGAAAGAUUGGCUAAUACCGCAUACGCUCUGAGGAGGAAAGCAGGGGACCUUCGGGCCUUGCGUUAUUCGAGCGGCCAAUAUCUGAUUAGCUAGUUGGUGGGGUAGGGCCUACCAAGGCGACGAUCAGUAGCGGGUCUGAGAGGAUGAUCCGCCACACUGGGACUGAGACACGGCCCAGACUCCUACGGGAGGCAGCAGUGGGGAAUUUUGGACAAUGGGCGCAAGCCUGAUCCAGCCAUGCCGCGUGUCUGAAGAAGGCCUUCGGGUUGUAAAGGACUUUUGUUAGGGAAGAAAAAGGAGCGGUUAAUACCCGUUUCUGCUGACGGUACCUAAAGAAUAAGCACCGGCUAACUACGUG